ACCUGGGUGGCUCAGUCAGUUGAGCAUCUGACUUCAGCUCAGGUCAUGAUCCCACGGUUGGUGGGUUUGAGUCCCGCAUCAGGCU
This 85-nucleotide transfer RNA is filed under the name Felis catus (domestic cat). It matches the Rfam family "tRNA". From Rfam's summary of the family: Transfer RNA (tRNA) molecules are approximately 80 nucleotides in length. Their secondary structure includes four short double-helical elements and three loops (D, anti-codon, and T loops). Lineage: Eukaryota; Metazoa; Chordata; Mammalia; Carnivora; Felidae. RNAcentral also lists the same sequence under 4 other names. The record is from Rfam by way of RNAcentral.